UACCAAUCAACGGACCUAAAUUAGAAAAAAAAAAAAUGAAAGGUUAUGAAUCCUGAAGGGAAAAAAGAAAAGGAAUAGGUGCAAUUCCAUAAUUCAAUAAAAUAUUUUGGAUUUACAUGUAAUUAACCCCUCCUAAAGAUAAUCAAUAUUAUCUCGAUCCAAAUUGCCUAUACGAUGUUGGUAAAUAGGUAAUUUACUGAAGAGAAUUGUAUCCAUUUCGAUUUUGGCUUAUCGAAUUCCACAUAAACGAACAGUAUCUCGGUAGUGGUAAAUUGGUAACGAGUUUGGAUGUUUUGUUAGGUUUUCAAAUUUCCUGAAAUCGAAUGGGUAAGUAUUUUAUUUCUAAUCACCUUUGUGGACGGAAGAAGUAGUAAUUUACUUACUCGUUCACGUCGAGUUUUAAACCUUAGCUCCAAAAACUCAACCUCUCAACCCCGAUGACCACCGCCACCACCUCCUCCUCCUCGCUCCUCCCACCGCCACAAUUCCUCCGCCAUGCAAGUACAACUCAACUAUGCACCAAAACCACCUUGUUCCCUCCAUUUCCCCUCUCUCCCCCCUCUCUCUUCACCAGCUACCACUUCAGUCGCUCGUGCAUAGCUUCAUCUUUGAAGGAAAAAAUCGGUGGGGUUAAGAAAACAUGGGAUGAAUUAAGCAGCUUAAAUCACUGGGUCGUUAGAGAUUAUUACAGACUUGUGAAUUCCGUGAAUGCGCUGGAACCCCACAUUCAGAAACUUUCAGAUGAGCAGUUGAGAGCAAAGACAGAGGAAUUCCGCCAGCGGUUGAAGCAGGGUGCAACUUUAGCUGAUAUUCAAGCUGAGGCUUUUGCUGUAGUUCGUGAAGCAGCGAAAAGGAAGCUUGGAAUGCGUCAUUUCGAUGUUCAGAUUAUUGGUGGAGCUGUGCUUCAUGAUGGGUCGAUUGCAGAAAUGAAAACUGGGGAAGGGAAGACCUUAGUGUCCACUUUAGCAGCUUAUCUUAAUGCUCUGAGUGGGGAGGGCGUCCAUGUGGUUACAGUAAAUGAUUACCUCGCUCAGCGUGAUGCUGAAUGGAUGGGCCGUGUGCAUCGAUUCCUAGGCCUCUCAGUUGGACUUAUUCAAAGAGACAUGAAAAAUCAGGAGCGAAGAUCUAACUAUAGAUGUGACAUUACAUACACCAAUAAUACCGAACUUGGUUUUGACUAUUUGCGAGAUAAUCUUGCUGGAAGCAGUGAACAACUUGUAAUGAGAUGGCCAAAGCCCUUUCAUUUUGGGGUAGUUGAUGAAGUUGAUUCUGUUCUUAUUGAUGAAGGACGUAAUCCUUUGUUGAUAAGCGGACAGGCAAGUAAAGAUGCGGUACGAUUUCCAGUUGCUGCUAGAAUAGCUGAGUUGCUUAUACGAGGUCUGCAUUACACUGUUGAACUUAAGGAUAACUCAGUGGAACUUACGGAGGAAGGAAUAGUACUGGCUGAGACAGCUCUAGAUACAAAUGACUUAUGGGAUGAGAAUGAUCCUUGGGCUAGGUUUGUUAUGAAUGCAUUAAGAGCCAAAGAAUUCUACCGGCGAGAUGUUCAAUACAUCAUUCGAAAUGGAAAGGCUCUUAUAAUCAAUGAGUUGACUGGUAGAGUGGAAGAGAAAAGGCGGUGGUCUGACGGCAUCCAUCAGGCAGUGGAGGCCAAAGAAGGACUGAAGAUCCAGGCUGAUUCUGUUGUUGUGGCCCAAAUCACUUACCAAUCAUUAUUCAAGCUAUACCCCAAGCUCUCAGGGAUGACUGGGACUGCAAAAACUGAGGAGAAGGAAUUCUUGAAAAUUUUCCAAAUGCCAGUUAUUGAGGUUCCUACAAAUAUGCUAAGUAUUCGAGAAGAUCUACCCAUCAUGGCCUUUGCAACUGCUCAAGGGAAAUGGAAUUAUGUUCGUGCCGAAAUUGAGUAUAUGUUUGGGCUAGGCCGGCCAGUUUUGGUUGGGACAACCAGUGUCGAAAAUUCUGAGCAUCUUUCUGCUUUACUGAGGGAAAUAAAAAUCCCCCAUAACAUCCUUAAUGCUCGCCCGAAGUAUGCUGCCAGAGAAGCUGAGAUUGUCGCCCAGGCUGGUCGUAAAUAUGCAAUCACUUUAUCGACAAAUAUGGCUGGCAGGGGCACUGAUAUUAUCCUAGGAGGAAAUCCUAAGAUGCUCGCAAAAGAAAUUUUGGAGGACAAUUUACUUUCAACUCUCGCACACAAUGUUCCUGAUGUUGAAAUUGACUCGGGGCUAACUUCAGGACAGGUCUUAUCUAAGGUCAAGGUUGGACCAUCAUCUUCAGGCUUGCUAUCUAAGGCUGCUCUUAUGUCUAAAUAUGUUUGCAAAAGUGAGGGUGAGAAGUUGACUUAUGAUGAGGCAAGAAAAAUAAUUUCUGAGUCCAUCGAGAUGAGCCAGUCUGUGGGAUCGACGGAGUUGCAGAAGCUUGUCGAUGAGGAGACAGAGAUGUACCCUCUUGGCCCAUGUAUAGCACUUGCUUAUCUAUCAGUUCUAAAGGACUGUGAAUCUCACUGUUUAAAUGAAGGGUUAGAGGUGAAAAGUCUUGGAGGUCUUCAUGUGAUUGGAACUUCUCUACAUGAGUCUAGAAGGAUUGAUAACCAGCUCCGAGGCAGAGCAGGGAGACAAGGGGAUCCUGGAUCAACACGGUUCGUAGUGAGCUUACAGGACGAGAUGUUUCAGAAGUUCAAUUUCGACACUGAGUGGGCGGUGAAGCUUAUAUCUAGACUCACAGAUGAUGAGGAUGUCCCGAUAGUUGGUCAUGCAAUCAUGAAACAGCUUACAAAUCUGCAAGUCAGUGCUGAAAAGUACUUCUUUAGUAUAAGGAAGAACCUCAUCGAAUUUGACGAAGUUUUAGAGGUGCAAAGAAAGCAUGUCUACGAUCUUCGCCAAUUGAUAUUAUCAGGCGAUUCCGACAGUUGCUCACAGCAUAUUUUUCAGUACAUGCAAGGAGUGGCAUCUGAAAUUAUUUUCAAGAACGUGGAUCCAACUAAGCAUCCAAGCAGCUGGAAGUUAAGAAAUAUAUUAAAGGAAUUUAUUGGAAUUUCUGGAGAAGUGUUAAAUGAUUCGUUUGCAGGAAUUACUGAGGAAAAUUUGCUGCAUUCACUUGCACAAGUUCGUGGGAUAAGUUCUGUGGACAUUGACGAUUUUCAUCUCCCAACAUUGCCUAAACCACCGAAUUCCUUCCGAGGCAUUCGCAUGAAGAGCUCAUCAUUUAAACGGUGUCUGACAAUAUGUUCUGACGAUUCAAUAAAAGAUGGGAAAUUCAGAUCAUCUGUUAACCUUCUCUGCAAGUACCUUGGCGACUUUCUGAUCGCUUCAUAUCUAGAUGUUAUUCAAGAGUCAGGCUAUACCAGUGGUUAUGUAAAGGAAAUUGAGAGGGCAGUUCUUGUGAAAACUCUUGAUUCCUUCUGGAAGGAUCAUCUCGUGAACAUGAACAAACUAAAUUCAGCGGUGAACUUAAGAUAUUUUGGGCAUAGAAAUCCACUGGAGGAGUACAAAAUUGAUGGCUGUCGAUUUUUCAUUUCAAUGCUUAGCGCCACAAGGAGAGUGACUGUGGAAUCUCUCUUACGGUACUGGUCUUCUCCUAUGGAGUCUGAAGAAUUAGUCUUACAGCAGAAUUAGUUCUCCUGUUAAAGUAUAAAAUUAUCUAGUUGGAUGCUGGAUAAAGUUUUGGAAUCAUGAAUGAAUGCACAAGAGGUUCAAAACACGAUGAAUUUGCUUCAUUCCCAGGGUGAUAUGUUGCCGCUCCCUCUGACAAAACAGUACGGCGAAUGCCAAUAUUUUGGGAGAGUGACUGCAAAAUAUAGUUAUGGAGAUGAUCUAUCCACGGUGGAACCCUAAAAAAUACCGGCAUCUUUAUAAGCGACAACUCGCUGGAGCUGUGAAAAUGAUUGGUCGAGUUACAGAUACGCCUGCUCAAAGCUGCAGUCAUUCAUGGUAAACAAUGCUACAACCUUUCACUCGUAUUAGUCCAUUAUCUGGUUCGUCUUUUUCGUGCAUUUAGUUGUGUGAGAAAAUGGACGGGGCUGAAGAAGGAAUGCUCUUAACUCGAGGAACCAUAUAUUAAAAAUUAUAGAAUCUUUUUUAUCAUCCUCCCAUAUAUGUUCUUCACUAAUUGUGUGACAUUCUCGCGACGCGAUCCGACCAUAUAUAUGGACUAUAUAUUGAUUCUGUGUUUGAUCUUUA
Salvia miltiorrhiza (redroot sage) is the source of this 4175-nucleotide RNA transcript. It is a transcript of the gene named protein translocase subunit SECA2, chloroplastic, with no coding region annotated. The transcript is spliced from 33 exons. The record is from RefSeq and is a predicted model, not a curated record. NCBI's taxonomy places the organism in Eukaryota, Viridiplantae, Streptophyta, Magnoliopsida, Lamiales, Lamiaceae.